AAGGUACUGAAGUAGAGUUCUGGCUGUUCCUUACGGACAUCUCUGGUGAAUAAUCUGAGAAGGCCUCACUUAUAAUUUGGCUUGAAGAAAACACGAGAGCAAGUCAUGCAAUGUUCAAGUAAGAGUGCAGCAGUCAGAAGAAAAAGCUAUGCAAGGGCCCUAAGGUUGAAAGUGUUCUUAGUGUCUUUGAGAAACAUCAAGGAAUGUGCAAAAGGCAGAAUGAUAGAAGAUGAGAUCAGAGAGGGGAAGUAAAUUCAACAACAGAAAUUGAGGAUGAGGAACAUGGUGUUGCAGUUCAAACCAGUUCCAGCCAAAAUGGACUCUAGUCACAAACAAAUAGUAAUAACAAUCCAAACUUGUGGCUGAAUAGAGUUCUGAAGUUUUGAGAAAGAGUUGGGAUCCAGAGAACCUUCCCCUUCUGAGCAGCAAAACCAAAUAAAGCAGUUCUCAGGAUACAAAGACAAGACUGAGGAAGAUCCUAAUAAGGUGUUGCAAGGUGACACAGGACAAACUUUGUCCAAAGGAAAUUGAUCUGACAAGAACUUCUGGACUUGUCAGUUCUUAGGGCUGACUGGUCUAUCCUCUUUCUAUUGACUUUGGCUUACUAGACUCAAGCAGAAAGUGACAAGGGAAGAAAAGGAUACAAACAGAAGCAAGUUUCCAAGAACAAGGUUUACAUCAGGAAGAGCCAAUCAAAGAUCAUAUCUGGAGGACUGCUGCAAAGUUGUGAUAAAUGACCAAAUAGUAUUUUUAUAGAAGGUGGAAUGAAUGACAGACUAAAGAUUUCAGCUGAUUAAAGAAAUUAUGGAGUGCAUCAUUCUCAGUUUAUAUUGAACUGGGGUUCCUGAGAAAUUCCUCCUUAUAAAUUUACAUGGAAAUUAUAAUUUUUACUAGUUGAUUUCAGUUAAUUAGCCUACUGAA
Molecule: long non-coding RNA, 921 nt
Filed under: Homo sapiens (human)
Lineage: Eukaryota; Metazoa; Chordata; Mammalia; Primates; Hominidae
Description: HSALNT0313506
Source: RNAcentral